This 253-nucleotide ribosomal RNA is filed under the name uncultured bacterium. RNAcentral describes it as "partial 16S ribosomal RNA". It matches the Rfam family "Bacterial small subunit ribosomal RNA", at positions 524 to 776 of the family's 1533-position model. The record is from RNAcentral.
UACGGGGGGGGCAAGCGUUGUUCGGAAUUACUGGGCGUAAAGGGCUCGUAGGUGGCCAACUAAGUCAUACGUGAAAUCCCUCGGCUUAACCGGGGAACUGCGUCUGAUACUGGAUGGCUUGAGGUUGGGAGAGGGAUGCGGAAUUCCAGGUGUAGCGGUGAAAUGCGUAGAUAUCUGGAGGAACACCGGUGGCGAAGGCAGCCCCCUGGGAUGUGACUGACGCUCAUGUACCAAAGCGUGGGGAGCAAACAGG